This is a long non-coding RNA of Harpia harpyja (harpy eagle), 441 nucleotides long. RefSeq lists it as uncharacterized. NCBI's taxonomy places the organism in Eukaryota, Metazoa, Chordata, Aves, Accipitriformes, Accipitridae. The transcript is spliced from 3 exons. The record is from RefSeq and is a predicted model, not a curated record.
UCCGCGGGUCUCUUCCCAGCGCCCAUCAGAGCUCCGCCACCGGGAGCCGCCGGGCCCGGCGGCUGCUGCGGAAGGAGCAAGAUCAGCGCGGGGUCCCUGACCGGAGCGGGCCCCGGCCCAGACCCCCCCCCGCCGCCUCCCGGCGGAGGCGCCACGCACCUGCGGGAAGGUGAACGGCACCUGCUGAUCCAGGAUCUACAGUAAGCUCGGAAGAAACCUCCCUCUGCAAAUUGCUACCAUCAACAAGGCACCUGUCCUCUUGGACUGUCAAUGCAAAAGCCAUCUCUUCUGAAACUGGUUUUGUCUUCAAGUGAUUUCAAUAUAUUUUUCUUUACUGGCCCAAUCUCUGAAGAGAAGGCUCUGGGUACCUAGAUUUUUCUAAAGAACUCAAGGAAAAUUCUUAAGAGGAGAGAAAAGUCUUAUGUUCCACUUAGAAUAAAC